This 83-nucleotide transfer RNA is filed under the name Xenopus laevis (African clawed frog). It matches the Rfam family "tRNA". Rfam says of the family: Transfer RNA (tRNA) molecules are approximately 80 nucleotides in length. Their secondary structure includes four short double-helical elements and three loops (D, anti-codon, and T loops). Further hydrogen bonds mediate the characteristic L-shaped molecular structure. tRNAs have two regions of fundamental functional importance: the anti-codon, which is responsible for specific mRNA codon recognition, and the 3' end, to which the tRNAs corresponding amino acid is attached (by aminoacyl-tRNA synthetases). tRNAs cope with the degeneracy of the genetic code in two manners: having more than one tRNA (with a specific anti-codon) for a particular amino acid; and 'wobble' base-pairing, i.e. permitting non-standard base-pairing at the 3rd anti-codon position. The record is from Rfam by way of RNAcentral. Lineage: Eukaryota; Metazoa; Chordata; Amphibia; Anura; Pipidae.
ACCAGGAUGGCCGAGUGGUUAAGGCUUUAAGCUAUAGUUGCAAUAGAUGUAUAUCCAUGUGGGUUAGAACCCCACUCCUGGUA